AUUGAACGCUGGCGGCAUGCUUUACACAUGCCAGUCGAAUGGUAACAGGCCGCAAGGUGCUGACGAGUGGCGAACGGGUGAGUAAUGCAUCGGAACGUGCCCAGUCGUGGGGGAUAACUACUCGAAAGAGUAGCUAAUACCGCAUACGAUCUAUGGAUGAAAGCGGGGGACCGUAAGGCCUCGCGCGAUUGGAGCGGCCGAUGUCAGAUUAGGUAGUUGGUGGGGUAAAGGCUCACCAAGCCAACGAUCUGUAGCUGGUCUGAGAGGACGACCAGCCACACUGGGACUGAGACACGGCCCAGACUCCUACGGGAGGCAGCAGUGGGGAAUUUUGGACAAUGGGCGCAAGCCUGAUCCAGCAAUGCCGCGUGCAGGAAGAAGGCCUUCGGGUUGUAAACUGCUUUUGUACGGAACGAAACGGCUCUGGUUAAUACCCGGGGCUAAUGACGGUACCGUAAGAAUAAGCACCGGCUAACUACGUG
Molecule: ribosomal RNA, 482 nt
Filed under: uncultured bacterium
Lineage: Bacteria
Description: partial 16S ribosomal RNA
Rfam family: Bacterial small subunit ribosomal RNA
Source: RNAcentral